CUUCCGGUCGGGGUAAGCUUGGCGGAGAUUGGUUCAUCCCAGAGGGCCUCAUUCACACGUCUGGCUGUUGGCACUAUGUCAGGUGAGGCAGGGCAUAACUUGGCCAUGUGUCCCUCAUCAUCCAGCAAGCUAGCCUGGGCUCAUUCACAUGGUGUGAUUGCAGAGUUUCCAAGAAAAACACACCAAUACUUUUCAAGUCUCUGCUUAUAUCACAUUUGCUAUUGUCCCAUUAACCAAAGCAAGGCACAUGGUUAAGCCAAGAGUCAGUGUGGGAGGGAAAUGCUCAAGGACAUGGAGAGAGGGAGGAAAUUAUAACAGUCCUUUUUGCAAAUAAUCUCCCACAACUAUUAAUGUAUUUCUAAUUAUGUGAAUUCAUCUUCUGAGUUGCUCAUGUUAGAAACCUCAAAGUUAUUUUCUGCCUCUUUUUUCUCUCAUAGAGUAAAAUGGGAAAUUAUUUAAUUAGCUAAGUAAAAAUGUAUUUUGUGGAAAAUCAUUUCCUCUCAGUACUUUAAUAAUCUAAAUAUUAAUAUAAACUUUGAUCACAGACCCAGUACUGUUUUGAUUAAUUAUACUCAGAAACUGGAAAAGAAAGAACAUAAUUGGCAGACUAAAAUAUGAAAUUUAUUCAAAUCCCUUAUAACAAAACAUGGCUUAAUAUACCAGUAAUACGUUUCAUUUUAUUUGUUUUCUUACAAAUAUGCAAAGAGGUAAUCACCAAUAAGUGGUAGUAUUUAAACACUUGGAAAAAAUAUUAAGCAAUACUCUUGUUGUAGCUAAUUGUGCAUAUGCAUCUUAUCUGAAGUUGGCAGCAAGUGAAAUUAAAUGGUUUUCCAAAUGACUGCAUUGCCAAUCCACCUUCUUUCAGCUAAUUGACUGAUUUUGGUCAUUGCUGCCUCCCAAGGGGGUCACUUGCACUGACGUGGAGUAUUGACAAUCCCGUAUGGCACUAAAGCUUGCUACAACCAUCGGUUGGUGCAACCCCACAGGGGGCCUUUUAGAAAGCACUGAAUAGGGAUCCUUUCCUGUUGAGAGAGAUGUGGAAUGGGAUACAGGCACGGCAUUGCAGAGAGGAAUGCUGUUGGACCCCACUCAAACAGCCUCAUAACAAGUCUGGGCCUUGGUUUAUUCAUCUGGAAAACAGGAGAUCGCCUUGAAAGUCUUCUCGCAAUCUGUGGCUCUCUGAGUCCACGUGAGCUCUGCCGGCGUAAUAGAAUCAGCACACUGUUAACCACAGAAAUGGAGGAAGGAGCCCUGAACACCCCAAUUCUGGUUAAAACAGGAGGCAAGAGCAAUCACAACCAGUGUCUAGUAACAUGUUUACCAUUCUGCAGACACAAAUCCAAAGUUCAAGCGACACAAGCAUAACAGCAGGGUCGGAAUCCAAAACUUCGCAUACACCAAAAGGCUACAGUCAUCUGUGACUGGUGUUGGUUCCAGAAUUGAGCCUUGAUUGUUUUUCAAAUGUUGGAAAAUGUCUGUGCAGCAUCUUGUGGUUGAAAUGCCUGCUCACCUGCUUUCUGAGGUCUGUCAGGUUGACAAGCUCAGGAGGGAGUCUCCGCCACUUUUUGAGCCCCAGAUCUCUGAGAAUCUGUAACAGUCCCAGGUGCAGUCAGUUGUCCAUGCAACGUGCAUAUGCACCUCACAUAUGCAAACAAUUAAGAAGGCUUCCUGGGUCUCAGGCGCCAGGGGAAACCUGCUUGUCCGGCCAACCCCUCACUCUCCUUCCUGUUUCUGACCUGCGUCAUAACACCACUCGUCGUCUCAACCCUAGUUGGCACCCACGCCAGUCAAGCCACUCGACUUGAAAGUAAACUCCUCAUCUCCAGACCAUCCUGCUCUCUACUUGGCUGGAAAUCAAAGGCCCAUCCAGAUAAGAAUCUCCGCAAUGUGCAUUUUCAGAGCAAGUCAGAAGCUGCUUUGUUUUAACACUCAAAGAAAGCUUUUGUAUUUUCGAUUUCGAGUGCUCUGCAGUAAAAUCAACAGUCUAUAUAGAUUAUACAAAAGGGUCAUAUGUUGGUUUGAGCCAGUUUCUGGGGGAAAAAAAUCACCAUUGAGGAACAGCAAGUGUUUAAACAAUGAACUGACAGCUGCCGGUCCAUUAGAUCCUCCAUGGGUGCAAUUCCUGCUCUUUGCAAUUUCACUGUGGUCUGUAGAUACCACCCUUCGUGGCUGAGCUGGUGGUGAUGGGCUGUGUUCCAAUAGCACCUGCACUUAGCGGAGGGAUGUCUUUCAUCAGAGGCCUCUCGCAUAAAGUCCAUCAUAAGAAAGAGAAACCGUGCCAGCUCCGAAAGGGAGAAGAAGAAAAUAUACAGCUAUUUCAAAGUCCGUAUUGGCCAUUUAAGUACUUGUAGAGUUAGAACUAAAAACUUGAAGCUCUUGAUUUACACUAUAUUCUCUUGGCCAUUCUAAGGAGUAUCAGGAUUCAUCUUUAGCUGAAGUUUAAUCCAAAUAGUCAAACCUCAGAGUUUGCUAAAUUAAGUGCUUUUUUUUUUUUUUUUGAGGAAGAUUAGCCCUGAGCUAACAUCUGCUGCCAAUCCUCCUCUUUUUGCUGAGGAAGCCUGGCCCUGAGCUAACAUCCGUGCCCAUCUGCCUCUACUUUCUGUGUGGGACGCCUGCCACAGCAUGGCAUGCCAAGCAGUGCCAUGUCUGCACCCGGGAUCUGAACCCACGAAUCCCAGGCCACCGAAGUGGAACAUGCGAACGUAACUGCUGCGCCACUAGGUUGGCACCAUUAAGUGCUAAUUUAAUGAUGACGUCUGCCUUUAAAAAUAUCUUUCUGGUGAUAGGCUUAAAGAAGAGACAUGAAAGAAUAUUUUCUUUAACUUCUGCUUCAGCAAGCUACAAUCCUCUUAAUUUUCUCUUUACUGGAGUCAGAUGUUCAUAAUUAGCCCUAUUUGAACAGCCCAAGGGUUGGUCCAGGGUUUCACAGGAGAGUAAAAAGUCUUAGGUGAAGACAAGCCUUUGAUUCUCUUUAUCAAGGUCUUUCCUCACCUUUGAUUUGAUUCUCUGCUGAAUCGCUCCUUUCCUUCAGUCCCUUAGAAUGCCUUCCUUUGGGAUCUCUGGUUUAGAUUUUCAGUGGAUGUUUAUACCUGUGUCUGGGCCCACCGCUUGCCCUGACCGCAUCUCAGAUCUGCCACAUCUUGAUUGCUUACCCCAUUACCUUCUUUCCCCUUGGAUCCUUAAUAACGGCACCUCUGCUUUCCUAGACAUAGCUUUCACCUGCAGCUAUCCGUGCCCCAGCUGAACCGAACUAGGUUUUAGCUCCACCAGUUUGAGCCGAGCAGUCACUUC
Long non-coding RNA from Equus caballus (horse), 3291 nucleotides. The record is from Ensembl. NCBI's taxonomy places the organism in Eukaryota, Metazoa, Chordata, Mammalia, Perissodactyla, Equidae.